CAGUAUAUAGUUUAUUAUAAAAUUUGGUAUUUGGGUUGCUAGGAUUAGUUACUGA
Molecule: transfer RNA, 55 nt
Filed under: Angiostrongylus cantonensis (rat lungworm)
Lineage: Eukaryota; Metazoa; Nematoda; Chromadorea; Rhabditida; Metastrongylidae
Also listed under: 1 other name
Description: tRNA-Pro
Source: RNAcentral